This 492-nucleotide ribosomal RNA is filed under the name uncultured bacterium. RNAcentral's name for it is "partial 16S ribosomal RNA". It matches the Rfam family "Bacterial small subunit ribosomal RNA", at positions 29 to 507 of the family's 1533-position model. The record is from RNAcentral.
AGUGAACGCUAGCGGUAGGCCUAACACAUGCAAGUCGAACGGCAGCACAGUAAGAGCUUGCUCUUACGGGUGGCGAGUGGCGGACGGGUGAGGAAUACAUCGGAAUCUACUUUUUCGUGGGGGAUAACGUAGGGAAACUUACGCUAAUACCGCAUACGACCUACGGGUGAAAGCAGGGGAUCUUCGGACCUUGCGCGAUUGAAUGAGCCGAUGUCGGAUUAGCUAGUUGGCGGGGUAAAGGCCCACCAAGCCGACGAUCCGUAGCUGGUCUGAGAGGAUGAUCAGCCACACUGGAACUGAGACACGGUCCAGACUCCUACGGGAGGCAGCAGUGGGGAAUAUUGGACAAUGGGCGCAAGCCUGAUCCAGCCAUACCGCGUGGGUGAAGAAGGCCUUCGGGUUGUAAAGCCCUUUUGUUGGGAAAGAAAAGCAGCAGGUUAAUACCCCGCCGUUCUGACGGUACCCAAAGAAUAAGCACCGGCUAACUUCGUG